UACGAAGGGUGCAAGCGUUGUUCGGAUUUAUUGGGCGUAAAGCGCGCGCAGGCGGAUCAGCAAGUCAGAUGUGAAAUCUCAGGGCUCAACCCUGAAACUGCGUCUGAAACUGCUAGUCUAGAAUAUCGGAGGGGGCAGGGGAAUUUCACGUGUAGGGGUAAAAUCCGUAGAGAUGUGAAGGAACACCGGAGGCGAAGGCGCCUGCCUGGACGAUACUUGACGCUGAGGCGCGAAAGCGUGGGGAGCAAACAGG
RNAcentral lists this ribosomal RNA (253 nucleotides) under bacterium. RNAcentral's name for it is "partial 16S ribosomal RNA". It matches the Rfam family "Bacterial small subunit ribosomal RNA", at positions 524 to 776 of the family's 1533-position model. The record is from RNAcentral. RNAcentral also lists the same sequence under 1 other name.